AAAGAACACGACUUUUAUUGGGAGCUAACAAUUACCAGCAAGGAAAGAGUAGAAUGUUACUGAAUCUACCAGCUAUACAGGAUUUCUUUCCACAUCCAUAGUUUAUAUUCUUACAUUCCCAACAAACAUGUAUGUAUAUAGAAACAUGUAAACAUGAAAUUCAUAUCAAUUUUAGGGCUUUCAGGGCUAAAGAAUAUUUUGGGCUAAUAUCUACAAGAAUGAACUGAAUUCAUUCUUUAAAUAAUCAGAUACUAUAUAUAAUCUUUAAAUAUUGCUGUAAAGAUAGAAUCUUCAACAAGUAUUGAUCAAAUCUCGCGUCCAUGAAAAGCACCAUGAUGCUCUCCAUGAGGACAGAUUCCUCAAUACCUUGGACGAUCUGGCCACAAGUUUCCCAAUUGCCUCAUCAACGUCAGGUACCUUCCAUUCCUGGCAUCUACAUGCUCGCGUUCACGAUGAUCAACAUGUUCACGAUGAUCAUCAUGUGUAGGAGUGCUAUUUUCAGGCACAGGCGGCAACUCUUUCCUACAGACUGGGCAAGAGUUGUGUAACCUUAACCAUGGCACAAUACAAUCAUUAUGGUAUAUGUGUUUGCAAGGUAGCUCCUUUGCCUCCUCUCCAACUUUGAAAUCUUCCUUGCAGACUGGACAAUGCGAUUCAUUCACCAAAUGACUUCCUGUGACCUUCACCGUUGAUAUUGCGUUGAUAACUGAUUCGGAUGCCGGCGGCGGCCCUGGUCGGUCAUUUUGGGUCACUCGUUCGAUCAGCUCGUUUAGGACUUGGCCGAAAAAGUAGUCCCUCAGGCUAACCAUGGGGCGCAUCGGGUUUUCAGGUGGCAAAUUUGGUUCGGUUAUUGGUCUAGAUGGGAGUCCAGGUACAUCUUCCGAGUGCACUCUCCCAUCUAAAUUCUGAUUUCGAAGCCUCCAGGGACGGGUUUCAGGAUCAGGGUCCCAUUGAUUUCGUCUCCGAAACCAGUACCGUCCACGAUAUUGGGAUUCCAGAUUAUCAUCAAAACCGAAAUAAUUAAACCUUCUAAUUGGCCGGUCAAGCAUAAGAGACAGCGCUUCAAGUGAGCGGACUACAGGCGAGGGAUCAAAAGCAGUGAAAUCAACAACUAAUCUCGGUCUGUUCAUCUCAACCUCGCAAAGGAACUGCCCGGAACAUAGAGGACAGAUGAUUUCUGAUGGGUCUGACGCAGCAAUCCUGACCCUUCGAUGGCACUGGUAGCACCAAUAUGGCUGGUAGGUUCUUGUGGUCGUGUCAUUUGUUCUUGUCCUAGGUGGGCUCAAAGACAUGGUCCGUAUUUCUUGUGGGGUUGGUCGUUUUGGGUUUCUGCUUUUCUGGGUUUAUGUUAUUUCUCAACAAGAAUUUGCCUUGGGAUUUGGGAAGAAGAGUUCCAAAUGAGAGAAUAUAUAUACAAACAUAUGUAGAAGUACUCAGAAAAGAAUGGCUUUUCUGGCUUGCAUAAAGCUAUCCUUUCUUUACCUGUGUCUAUCUUCAUUCUCCAUACAAAGGAAAGAAUGAGAUUUGAAUUGCGAGGGAAAGCUUAACGGCUACCUUCUGAAGGCGGAAAAGAAUGUUACUUUUUUUGUUGGACGAAAAUGACCUUUGUUCCUUAAAGCCACGAAAGUCGAAGAGGUCCCGGUGAGAAACCCUUCGAAGGGAAGAAAAAAAAAAGCUUCCUCUUCUUCAGGGUAAUCUCUCUGGAUUACCAUCAUUAGUAGUAGUAGUUUCUGCUUUUGUGAUUUUGGUGUUAUUUUCUUUAUUAUCAUUUUUUGGGGUGCAUGUUGCCCAUUUCGAUGAUUUUGCUGUGAUUCAUAUUUCGGAUUUACGGAUUUGAUUUCGUUUAGGUUAUGGGAAGUGGGGAAUGAGUCGAGCUUUUUAUUUUCUUUAAUGGGACUUCACUGUUUUUCUACGUUUCUUUUCGAUUCAAGGGAUGAAGCUUGAUUUUAUACUGGCACUCGUGAACACCAUCUGUUUGUUCAUUUGUCUGUAUGAAUUGGUAAAUGUCUCUUUGUUAUUGUUUCAGCGUCAAGCUUAUGCAUUCCUUCGACAUUGUUUUUCUUCGUGGAAAUUUCAAACCUGUUUGUGUAGAAUGGUACCAGAGUUACCUGACUUGUUUUGGGAUUCUUUAUAACUUUCUUUGUUUAUCUGUUCAUCAUGACCCAUGUGCAGCAUUAGGACAAUAGGAGUAAAGUACGAAGAAAUAACAGUUUAUGAGUGGAUAAGGGAAAUAACUUGAUUAAAAAUUGGAACUGAAUACGUAGCUGAAUUAAUGGGGGGUUUCCUAACUUGCAAUCCUAUUCUGUCUUUGAUAGUUUAAGUUUGAGUUUCUAUUGAAAACACCUUUAAAUAUUUGUAGAAUCAACUUUCAGAUUUUACAGCAAUAAUGCAGCAGCAUUUGUGAAUUCAUAUAUUUGACCAAGUGAAGAUAUUUUUACAUUAAAUACUAAAUAUUUCAUUACGAACAUGGUAGACUAAAUAGAUAAUUAUAGAGACUCAUCAAAUUACAAGAAAAUUCCCUAUAAGCUUUCUUAAGAUGAACCUAGAUGCAAACAAAUAAACCAAGAAAGAUUAUGAUGUAGAGUUUUGGGGGAAAUAAGUUGUGAUAAUUAUUUAGAAAAUUUUCUGGCUACUUCAUUUAUUUGUGUGAGAGAAACGUAGCAAUUCUUAUUAGCAUUUACUCUAAUGGGAAAUGCACGUGCAAACUUUUUUGAGCAUAUGUUCACUGCUGUUUGAACUAUGGAUUGUUUUUUGAUAACAUUUCUUUAAAGCUGCAGGAUGGAUAACAAGUUCUGCUGUGAGAAUGUACAUGGGAUUGUUGGAUUAUGAUGUGAUCUGUAUAUGUGUUUUUUCCAUUUUAUCAUUUUAUGUAUAUGGAAGCUAUUGCAAAAUAUUCUGUUAUUUGUGGGAGCUUGAUGAGAAUUUCUUGUUGAAGAAUCUAUGUUGGUCCCUACAUUUUUUAUCAUCUCUUUUUGGGAAGUAAGGGAAAAGACACAAGCACCAAUCAAAGACACAAUCUGUGGUAAGCUAUUCCACAGAUAUCAUGAAGCAAUGACUCUCGACACCCAAGAGAAGGACUACAAAUUCAUGUUUUCUACACUUUGAAUUUUGGAAAAUUUACUUUUUGCUUUAGGAAAAAGAAAAAUAAGUAUAGACCAACUGUGAAAUGCUCUUGUUUCUAAAACCCGAAAUAUGCUCAUGUUCUUAUUCUUAACUGUUUGUUUAAUAUGCUUUUGUUUCACAUUAGUUCCUUGGAUCACUUUUUGUGGCUUUGUUUUUACAGAUUGAAUUGUCAAAGUGUUGGUUGACUGGAAUGCCAUAGGCAGCGAAAUGCAGAAGGACCCUGUGGUGGUGCUAGACCAAUUAUAAAGAAGCGGCUUCCAAAAAGGUUCAGGCUAGUUAUUUCUAUCGCACAGAGAUGCAGGGUAGCUAGGUUAGUUAAUCUGGUGUAAGAUAAGCUAAGUUGAUAUUAACUAGAGCUAUACCAGCUGAAUUGGUUAGCUGUUGAAGACUGUUACAACUGGCUGAAACUUUCCCGCCUUGUGUAACUGCUGUACUCCCUUCUGUAAAUGAUGUAACUCCCUCUUGUUUCCCUAUCUCAUCUAUUUCCUUCUCAUUCUAAUUGUAUGUAAAAAGCAGAUGUACUUGUGAUCUGUAUCAAUAAUAAGGAUCAUUCUUCCUUCAGUUUUCCGUCCCUCAAGGUCUGAACCCUCAGCAAUUGCAUUCUAUGGGGCAUGUAUUGCAGGUGGAAUUGGUGCUGGUAUGCUUCUUGAGAUCUGGAUAAACAAGAAAGUUAAAGGUAUCAUAAUUUAUAAUUCUUGCCUAUAACACAAGGAAAAAAGGAAUUAGGAAAAUAAAAGUCAGUUAGAAUAAUUGUUUGAUGUUUUUUUUUAUGAGAUCUAUGGCCUAGUCCUUGUGAACUGUUAGAAUGAAUGGUAGAAAAGCGGCUGUUAUAAGAAUAAUUGUGACUGGCAGUUGUUUUUUCGAGCUUGAUAUCUCAACUUGGAAGUUGGAAACCACUUACCAUCUGGCAUUCUGAAAUUUAUCUCGCAUGGUUUAGAAUUGACAUGACUUGUUUUAGUUAAAUAGAAAUUCCUUUAAAUUUGGCUUAAACACCUCAAAACAUUGGCAACUUUGAGGAAGCAUUCCCAGAUCUGUUUGUGAUAGCAAACAUUAUGGAUUCUUGGUGGUAUUGUUUCUACUCCAUCCAUUAUUUGCAAUUUCAACAAAAACUUAUGCCUUGUGGUCAAUAUUUCAGAGGAUGGAGGCGUCAUAUGGGAGUUUGAUAAAUAAAGUCUGGAUUUCAUUGCAUCAGCUCCUCUCUGGGCUUCCAUUGUUCCUUCGCUGAUGAUUCUAAGGUUUUACAAUGCUUGUGCUAAGCAUGAUAAUGAUCAAUAAUUUAAAGAUAAACGACAGCUCGCUGGUGGACGCAGUUCAGCAUAUUCUCUCAAGGGAUUGGUUUGUCCUAGUCUCCCAUGCCUACAGGAAAGGGAAUUUUUGCAUCGAUUGAUAGGAAAUUUUGCAGCGUCUCCCCUUUGGAAUUCAACGGCUGGUGGGUUACUGUUAUUUAUCAAAGAUAAGUUUCAUUAAAAGUAAGCGUGCAAGGCCCUAAAGGCCCAAAUUCAUAAUACAGUAGCAGGCUCCAAGCGAUAAGGCAUCUGGAGGUCUAACGCACACUUCUCACGGCAGGUCCUUUGGCUCAACAAAACCUCAAUCUACUAGAGGAACCGUCUGGCCUAACUCUUCCGCUGUCUACAUCAUCGAGAGAAGGGAGAAGCAAAUCCCAACAAUCGUCGAGAGAAGUGAGAAGCAAAACCCAACAAGUAGCAGGCCGUGGAAGUGCCAAAACAUAAGAAAUCACAAUAAGGAGGCAUUUCGACCAAAGAUCGAGCUUUUCUUCUCAUAUGCAAUUUCGCUCUUAUUAAUUCAGUUGGGUCGCAUGGUUUAUCAGUCCAAUCAAUCGAGUUACACUCAUAUCAGAUUAUAAACUCAAACUAGAUUAGAGUCCAAUUCAUCAAUUAAUUGGCCAAUUUGAUUUAGAUUUAAUAACAAUAAAUUAGCCAUUAACACUUUUUUUUUC
RNAcentral lists this unclassified non-coding RNA (5080 nucleotides) under Hevea brasiliensis (rubber tree). Lineage: Eukaryota; Viridiplantae; Streptophyta; Magnoliopsida; Malpighiales; Euphorbiaceae. The record is from RNAcentral.